UAGGGAAUAUUGGUCAAUGGACGGAAGUCUGAACCAGCCAUUCCGCGUGCAGGAAGAAGGUCCUAUGGACUGUAAACUGCUUUUAGCAGAGAAGAAACGCCUUCAUUUAUGAGGGUCUGACGGUAUCUGCGGAAUAAGCACCGGCUAACUCCGUGCCAGCAGCCGCGGUAAUACGGGGGGUGCAAGCGUUAUCCGGAAUCACUGGGUUUAAAGGGUGCGUAGGCGGGACAUUAAGUCAGUGGUGAAAGUCUGUUGCUUAACGAUAGAAUUGCCGUUGAUACUGAUGUUCUUGAAUUGGGUUGAGGUUAGCGGAAUGUGACAUGUAGCGGUGAAAUGCAUAGAUAUGUCAUGGAACACCAAUUGCGAAGGCAGCUAGCUGGGCCUUGAUUGACGCUGAGGCAC
Molecule: ribosomal RNA, 402 nt
Filed under: uncultured bacterium
Lineage: Bacteria
Description: bacterial SSU rRNA
Rfam family: Bacterial small subunit ribosomal RNA
Source: RNAcentral